This 67-nucleotide transfer RNA is filed under the name Helianthus annuus (common sunflower). RNAcentral's name for it is "tRNA HanXRQr2_Chr01g0018451". The record is from RNAcentral. Lineage: Eukaryota; Viridiplantae; Streptophyta; Magnoliopsida; Asterales; Asteraceae.
GUUUCUGUGGUGUAGUGGUUAUCACGUUUCACGCAAAAGGUCUCCGGUUCAAUCCCGGGCAGGAACA